CCGUAGGUGAACCUGCGGAAGGAUCAUUAAUGAAUGCAAUAGCAUUUACUGUGAAGGGGAUUUGUUUUGCUAGCCGAGCUAGCAAUAAGCACUUUAUAUUAGAUUACUUAUAUAACUAAAUAAAUUAAAACUUUCAACAACGGAUCUCUAGGUUCUCGCAUCGAUGAAGAACGCAGCGAAACGCGAUAUGUAAUGUGAAUUGCAGAAUGUGAAUCAUCGAAUCUUUGAACGCACAUUGCACCCUCUGGCAUUCCGGAGGGUAUACCUGUUUGAGCGUCAGUUCUUUCUCAAAGGCAACUUUGGUAUUGGCUGAAUAAGGGUAUCGGCUGAAAGAUAUUGGUUAGUCCGGUGUAAUAAGAUUCCAUCUAGCUGACCAUAAAUCUCUUGACGUUGACCUCAAAUCAGGUAAGACUACCCGCUGAACUUAAGCAUAUCAAUAAGCGGAGGAAAAGAAACCAACAGGGAUUGCCUUAGUAACGGCGAGUGAAGCGGCAAAAGCUCAAAUUUGAAAUCUGGCGCAAGCCCGAGUUGUAAUUUGAAGAAGGUAAUUUUUGGGGAGAUUGUUUGCAAAAGUUCCUUGGAAGAGGACGUCACAGAGGGUGAGAAUCCCGUGUUGCGAACCGCUCGCCCCUUGUAAAAUGCUUUCGAAGAG
This 652-nucleotide ribosomal RNA is filed under the name Sugiyamaella bonitensis. Its description in RNAcentral is "eukaryotic LSU rRNA". The stretch from base 392 to 652 matches the Rfam family "Eukaryotic large subunit ribosomal RNA", at positions 1 to 264 of the family's 3401-position model. The record is from RNAcentral. Lineage: Eukaryota; Fungi; Ascomycota; Dipodascomycetes; Dipodascales; Trichomonascaceae.